Long non-coding RNA from Cucumis sativus (cucumber), 254 nucleotides. RefSeq lists it as uncharacterized. The record is from RefSeq and is a predicted model, not a curated record. NCBI's taxonomy places the organism in Eukaryota, Viridiplantae, Streptophyta, Magnoliopsida, Cucurbitales, Cucurbitaceae. The transcript is spliced from 3 exons.
UUAAGAUUUUCACUACACAACUAGCAGCAGCUAGGCAAAGGAAUGGAUCUCUUGCUGUUUUUGCCAGAAACCGGUUUAGAAUUCGACGAAAUCAUAUAUUGGAAGAUGCUUUCAGUCAGAUGAGUGCAUUGUCUGAAGUUGAUCUUCGAGGAUCGAUACGUGUGUCUUUUGUUAAUGAAUUUGGAGUUGAGGAGGCAGGAAUUGAUGGUGGUGGUAUUUUUAAAGAUGUCAUGGAGAACAUUACACAGGCAGCC